UGUAUUUUUAGUAGAGACAGGUUUUCACCGUGUUAGCCAGGAUGGUCUCGAUACCCUGACUUCCUGAUCCGCCCGUCUUGGACAUGUUACUUUUAUGGGCAGAAAACAGCACUACAAAGUUGUUUCAGGAAAGUCUGGCUGUGAAGCUGGCAGGAAAGGAGAGAGUGGCUGGGUGAAGAAACCGGGUUGAACAAUGUUUUGUUUUUUUCGGAUGGGAGGUAUCUGAGCAUGACUAAAUCCGGAUGGACAGAGUUGAUAGAGAGGAAGAAUUGCAAAAAGAGCAGAGGGCAUCUGGAGAAAGAGGAGGAGGACACAGUGUCCUGAGGGGGAGGUAAGAGAGGAGGACACAGUGUCCUGAGGGGGAGGUGAGAGAGGGGGACACGGUGUCCUGAGGGGGAGGUGAGAGAGGAGGACACAGUGUCCGGAGUGGGAGGUGAGAGAGGAGGACAGUGUCCUGAGGGGGAGGUGAGAGAGAGGAGGACACAGUGUCCGGAGUGGGCGGUGAGAGAGGAGGACACAGUGUCCAGAGUGGGAGGUGAGAGAGGAGGACAGUGUCCUGAGGGGGAGGUGAGAGAGAGGAGGACACAGUGUCCUGAGGGGGAGGUGAGAGAGGAAGACACAGUGUACUGAGGGGGGAGGUGACAGAGGAGGACACAGUGUCCAGAGUGGGGAGAUGACAGAGGGGGACACAAGUGUAUGGAGGGGGGAGAUUAGACUCAGGAAGGGACGGACAAGCUUGUAGGUGUGAUGAGAAAUCAACUGAGGGAAUUCUCAUCAGUGGGUUCCCUUUUCCGGGAAACAGCAAGUUAAAUCAUCUGCUGAGAGGAAGGAAGGAAUGAUGGGAGACUGAGAAGCAUCAAGGCGUGAGCCAGUCACCGUGGAAAUGGAGGAGAAAGCUGACAGGAAUCCGCUGGGCUGCACGUGUGUAACUUCUCUGUCGGCCUCAGCAGCUGGGGCUGGGGUCAGAAGGAACAGAUGCAUGAGCUGAUCUGGGACCAAGAUUCCUCCAGGUGGGUGUGACAGAAGAAGCUCAGAAAAAGAACUAAAAAAACUGAUCAGAUGAUCCUGACUUCUGUAUAUAAAGUUAAGUGGGGCCCCCUUCUUUGACCACCACCAUGGGCAGGUUAGCUAUUAGUAAAGCUGUGUUACACUCUGCGCUUCCCAAGGGUCCUGGCCAUUGCCGCCUACCUAUGCGUCUGAAGAACAAGCAGUCAGUCAGUAGACUGGAAAGGUUUACAUUGUAUCUGUCUUAAAAAUGUUGUACCUGCUCUUGAGCGUCAACUUCACUAAAAUCGCCGUUUAAGUUGUUCUCAGAUAUCAGUUCUUCCCAGGUGAACAGCAGUGAAUCUGUGACUUCACCAAAUGGAUUAAAGUCAAUGAGCCACACCUUCCCCUGUAGCACAGAGAGAGAAAAAACAAAAACAAACAUCUUCUGUACUCUGUCUUCUGAGAAAGAAACACUUUUUUAUUCUGAGACAGGGUCUCAUGCUGUUGCCCAGGCUGCAGUGCACUGGUGUGAUCACGGCUCACUGCAGCCUCGACCUCCUGGGCUCAAAGGAUCCUCCUGCCUCAGCCUCCUCAGUACCUGGGACUACAGGCAUGCACCACCACAUGCAGCUAAUUUUUGUAUUUUCUUCGAGACAGGGUCUCGCCAUGUUGCCCAGGCUGGUCUUGAACUCUUGGGUUCAAGCAAUCCCCUCACCUCAGCCUCCCAAAGUGCUGGGAUUACAGACAUAAGCCACGUCGCCCGGCCAGAAAGAUAUUCUUCAUAUUAUUCUAAUCUUAAAAAUCUUCUCACUUAUUUCAAAAGAUCAUCUGUCUAUAUCCCAUCUGAGAAAGGGCCGCCUGUCUGAAUAGACAGAGAUCUAAAGGGAGGGCCCCCUGUGAAUGAAGAGAGAAGGGACCCAGUAAAGC
Long non-coding RNA from Homo sapiens (human), 1914 nucleotides. The record is from Ensembl. Lineage: Eukaryota; Metazoa; Chordata; Mammalia; Primates; Hominidae.